This 259-nucleotide ribosomal RNA is filed under the name uncultured bacterium. Its description in RNAcentral is "partial small subunit ribosomal RNA". It matches the Rfam family "Bacterial small subunit ribosomal RNA", at positions 26 to 285 of the family's 1533-position model. The record is from RNAcentral.
AGAAUCAACGCUGGCGGCGUGCCUAACACAUGCAAGUCGAACGAGAAAGUGGAGCAAUCCAUGAGUAAAGUGGCGACCGGGUGAGUAACACGUGACUAACCUACCUUCGAGUGGGGGAUAACCUCGGGAAACCGGGCUAAUACCGCAUAACAUCUUUGGAGUGGAAAUUCUGGAGAUCAAAGGAGCAAUUCGCUGGAAGAGGGGGUCGCGGCUGAUUAGCUAGUUGGCGGGUAACGGCCCACCAAGGCUUAGAUCGGUA